RNAcentral lists this RNase P RNA (363 nucleotides) under Dysgonamonadaceae bacterium. Its description in RNAcentral is "RNase P RNA component class A". It matches the Rfam family "Bacterial RNase P class A". From Rfam's summary of the family: Ribonuclease P (RNase P) is a ubiquitous endoribonuclease, found in archaea, bacteria and eukarya as well as chloroplasts and mitochondria. Its best characterised activity is the generation of mature 5'-ends of tRNAs by cleaving the 5'-leader elements of precursor-tRNAs. Cellular RNase Ps are ribonucleoproteins. The record is from RNAcentral. Lineage: Bacteria; Pseudomonadati; Bacteroidota; Bacteroidia; Bacteroidales; Dysgonomonadaceae.
UCGGCAGGACGGUUUGUCGCUCCUUUCGUUACAGGAAGGAGAGGAAAGUCCGGGCAACACAGAGCGUCCCGUUACCUAACGGGUAGCUAUUCGUAAGAGUAGGGUUAAGUAGAAGAAAAUAACCGCCUUGUUUCGACGAGGUAAGGGUGAGAAAAUGAGGUAAAAGCUCAUUGGGUCCGGUAGUGAUGCCGGAUGCCGUACUGCCCGGGAGUUGCAAGAUCAAGUAUACCGGCUAGAUGUAGGGCGGCUCGUCCGAUGCCGGGGGGUAGAUCGCUGGAGCCUGGUGGCGACAUCAGGUCGAGAUAAAUGACAAACGCUUGCGUUUUGCAAGUACAGAACCCGGCUUAUAGGCCUGCCGAUUUU